This 627-nucleotide ribosomal RNA is filed under the name uncultured bacterium. Its description in RNAcentral is "bacterial SSU rRNA". The stretch from base 1 to 544 matches the Rfam family "Bacterial small subunit ribosomal RNA", at positions 338 to 873 of the family's 1533-position model. The record is from RNAcentral.
CCUACGGGAGGCAGCAGUGGGGAAUUUUGGACAAUGGGCGAAGGCCUGAUCCAGCCAUUCCGCGUGAGUGAAGAAGGCCUUCGGGUUGUAAAGCUCUUUCGCAAGGGAAGAAAACUUAGAUACUAAUAUUAUCUGAGGUUGACGGUACCUUGAUAAGAAGCACCGGCUAACUACGUGCCAGCAGCCGCGGUAAUACGUAGGGUGCGAGCGUUAAUCGGAAUUACUGGGCGUAAAGCGUGCGCAGGCGGUUUUGUAAGUCAGAUGUGAAAUCCCCGAGCUCAACUUGGGAACUGCGUUUGAAACUACAAGACUAGAAUAUGUCAGAGGGGGGUAGAAUUCCACGUGUAGCAGUGAAAUGCGUAGAGAUGUGGAGGAAUACCAAUGGCGAAGGCAGCCCCCUGGGAUAAUAUUGACGCUCAUGCACGAAAGCGUGGGGAGCAAACAGGAUUAGAUACCCUGGUAGUCCACGCCCUAAACGAUGUCUACUAGUUGUUGGUGGAGUAAAAUCCAUGAGUAACGCAGCUAACGCGUGAAGUAGACCGCCUGGGGGAGGUACGGUCGGUCGAGAGUUAAACGUACGAAGAAGUUAGAGGCGNGNGAGNGCGACGGCGACGACGAGGGAGGAGG